AGAGUUUGAUCCUGGCUCAGAUUGAACGCUGGCGGCGUGCCUAACACAUGCAAGUCGAGCGGUAACAGGUGUAGCAAUACAUGCUGACGAGCGGCGAACGGGUGAGUAAUGCUUCGGAAUCUGCCCAAUGGUGGGGAAUAACCAGCCGAAAGGUUGGCUAAUACCGCAUAAGUCCUACGGGAGAAAGCAGGGGAUCGUAAGACCUUGCGCCGAUGGAUGAGCCGAAGUCGGAUUAGCUAGUUGGUAGGGUAACGGCCUACCAAGGCGACGAUCCGUAGCUGGUCUGAGAGGACGACCAGCCACACUGGGACUGAGACACGGCCCAGACUCCUACGGGAGGCAGCAGUGGGGAAUAUUGGACAAUGGGGGAAACCCUGAUCCAGCGACGCCGCGUGUGUGAAGAAGGCCUGCGGGUUGUAAAGCACUUUUAGCGGGGAUGAAAAGCUCAGGGAUAACACCUCUGGGUCUUGACCUAACCCACAGAAAAAGCACCGGCUAACUCUGUGCCAGCAGCCGCGGUAAUACAGAGGGUGCAAGCGUUAAUCGGAAUUACUGGGCGUAAAGCGUGCGUAGACGGUUAUGUAAGUCGGGUGUGAAAGCCCCGGGCUC
Molecule: ribosomal RNA, 609 nt
Filed under: uncultured bacterium
Lineage: Bacteria
Description: bacterial SSU rRNA
Rfam family: Bacterial small subunit ribosomal RNA
Source: RNAcentral